This 491-nucleotide ribosomal RNA is filed under the name uncultured bacterium. RNAcentral's name for it is "partial 16S ribosomal RNA". It matches the Rfam family "Bacterial small subunit ribosomal RNA", at positions 29 to 507 of the family's 1533-position model. The record is from RNAcentral.
GUGCACGCUGGCGGUAGGCCUAACACAUGCAAGUCGAACGGCAGCACAGUAAGAGCUUGCUCUUACGGGUGGCGAGUGGCGGACGGGUGAGGAAUACAUCGGAAUCUACUUUUUCGUGGGGGAUAACGUAGGGAAACUUACGCUAAUACCGCAUACGACCUACGGGUGAAAGAAGGGGAUCUUCGGACCUUGCGCGAUUGAAUGAGCCGAUGUCGGAUUAGCUAGUUGGCGGGGUAAAGGCCCACCAAGGCGACGAUCCGUAGCUGGUCUGAGAGGAUGAUCAGCCACACUGGAACUGAGACACGGUCCAGACUCCUACGGGAGGCAGCAGUGGGGAAUAUUGGACAAUGGGCGCAAGCCUGAUCCAGCCAUACCGCGUGGGUGAAGAAGGCCUUCGGGUUGUAAAGCCCUUUUGUUGGGAAAGAAAAGCAGCAGGUUAAUACCCCGCUGUUCUGACGGUACCCAAAGAAUAAGCACCGGCUAACUUCGUG